AGCCGUGUGGUGAGCACAGGAACGAAUUAUUAUUUCGUCUUUUACUAAAGAAUACCUUGUGCUCUCCAUCUUAAGCGGCAUACGCCAAUAUUUGGAAGGGUGUUCCUUGUUGAAUGCC
Molecule: small nuclear RNA, 118 nt
Organism: Hibiscus syriacus
Lineage: Eukaryota; Viridiplantae; Streptophyta; Magnoliopsida; Malvales; Malvaceae
Product: U5 spliceosomal RNA
Exons: 1
Source: RefSeq, a predicted model, not a curated record